RNAcentral lists this small RNA (182 nucleotides) under Sulfitobacter mediterraneus. Its description in RNAcentral is "caulobacter sRNA CC2171". Lineage: Bacteria; Pseudomonadati; Pseudomonadota; Alphaproteobacteria; Rhodobacterales; Roseobacteraceae. The record is from RNAcentral.
CAACAAAUGUAAAGGAGGUGAUCCAGUGUCAAGAAAGGUAUUGGAGAGAGGUGUCGGAACAGCUUGGGAGGUAACCCGCUAAGGCAGCCCUUGGCGGUUGAAACAACCCUGGUGGACAGGCGUCUAACCGACCCACCUCCGUAAACCAUUCGAUUGGGCCGCUCCGCAACAGGGGCGGCCCA